UUAAGCGACUAAGCGUACACGGUGGAUGCCCUGGCAGUCAGAGGCGAUGAAGGACGUGCUAAUCUGCGAUAAGCGCCGGUAAGGUGAUAUGAACCGUUAUAACCGGCGAUUUCCGAAUGGGGAAACCCAGUGUGAUUCGUCACACUAUCAUUAACUGAAUCCAUAGGUUAAUGAGGCGAACCGGGGGAACUGAAACAUCUAAGUACCCCGAGGAAAAGAAAUCAACCGAGAUUCCCCCAGUAGCGGCGAGCGAACGGGGAGGAGCCCAGAGCCUGAAUCAGCAUGUGUGUUAGUGGAAGCGUCUGGAAAGGCGCGCGAUACAGGGUGACAGCCCCGUACACAAAAGCGCAUGUGCUGUGAGCUCGAUGAGUAGGGCGGGACACGUGGUAUCCUGUCUGAAUAUGGGGGGACCAUCCUCCAAGGCUAAAUACUCCUGACUGACCGAUAGUGAACCAGUACCGUGAGGGAAAGGCGAAAAGAACCCCGGCGAGGGGAGUGAAAAAGAACCUGAAACCGUGUACGUACAAGCAGUGGGAGCACAGGUUUACCUGUGUGACUGCGUACCUUUUGUAUAAUGGGUCAGCGACUUAUAUUCUGUAGCAAGGUUAACCGAAUAGGGGAGCCGGAGGGAAACCGAGUCUUAAUUGGGCGUUAAGUUGCAGGGUAUAGACCCGAAACCCGGUGAUCUAGCCAUGGGCAGGUUGAAGGUUGGGUAACACUAACUGGAGGACCGAACCGACUAAUGUUGAAAAAUUAGCGGAUGACCUGUGGCUGGGGGUGAAAGGCCAAUCAAACCGGGAGAUAGCUGGUUCUCCCCGAAAGCUAUUUAGGUAGCGCCUCGUGAAUUCAUCUCCGGGGGUAGAGCACUGUUUCGGCUAGGGGGCCAUCCCGGCUUACCAACCCGAUGCAAACUGCGAAUACCGGAGAAUGUUAUCACGGGAGACACACGGCGGGUGCUAACGUCCGUCGUGAAGAGGGAAACAACCCAGACCGCCAGCUAAGGUCCCAAAGUCAUGGUUAAGUGGGAAACGAUGUGGGAAGGCCCAGACAGCCAGGAUGUUGGCUUAGAAGCAGCCAUCAUUUAAAGAAAGCGUAAUAGCUCACUGGUCGAGUCGGCCUGCGCGGAAGAUGUAACGGGGCUAAACCAUGCACCGAAGCUGCGGCAGCGAACGUAUCACCCAAGACAACUUUACGGAGUUGACGAUUGACGGAGCGAAGCGACGUCAAAGCGUUCAUUAAAGUCGAGUUGGCUUAGGGAUACGUUCGUUGGGUAGGGGAGCGUUCUGUAAGCCUGUGAAGGUGGCCUGUGAGGGUUGCUGGAGGUAUCAGAAGUGCGAAUGCUGACAUAAGUAACGAUAAAGCGGGUGAAAAGCCCGCUCGCCGGAAGACCAAGGGUUCCUGUCCAACGUUAAUCGGGGCAGGGUGAGUCGACCCCUAAGGCGAGGCCGAAAGGCGUAGUCGAUGGGAAACGGGUUAAUAUUCCCGUACUUGGUGUUACUGCGAAGGGGGGACGGAGAAGGCUAUGUUGGCCGGGCGACGGUUGUCCCGGUUUAAGCGUGUAGGUGUGUGUUCCAGGUAAAUCCGGUUCACUUUAACACUGAGGCGUGAUGACGAGGCACUACGGUGCUGAAGCAACAAAUGCCCUGCUUCCAGGAAAAGCCUCUAAGCAUCAGGUAACAUCAAAUCGUACCCCAAACCGACACAGGUGGUCAGGUAGAGAAUACCAAGGCGCUUGAGAGAACUCGGGUGAAGGAACUAGGCAAAAUGGUGCCGUAACUUCGGGAGAAGGCACGCUGACACGUAGGUGAAGUGAUUUACUCAUGGAGCUGAAGUCAGUCGAAGAUACCAGCUGGCUGCAACUGUUUAUUAAAAACACAGCACUGUGCAAACACGAAAGUGGACGUAUACGGUGUGACGCCUGCCCGGUGCCGGAAGGUUAAUUGAUGGGGUCAGCGCAAGCGAAGCUCCUGAUCGAAGCCCCGGUAAACGGCGGCCGUAACUAUAACGGUCCUAAGGUAGCGAAAUUCCUUGUCGGGUAAGUUCCGACCUGCACGAAUGGCGUAAUGAUGGCCAGGCUGUCUCCACCCGAGACUCAGUGAAAUUGAACUCGCUGUGAAGAUGCAGUGUACCCGCGGCAAGACGGAAAGACCCCGUGAACCUUUACUAUAGCUUGACACUGAACAUUGAGCCUUGAUGUGUAGGAUAGGUGGGAGGCUUUGAAGUGUGGACGCCAGUCUGCAUGGAGCCGACCUUGAAAUACCACCCUUUAAUGUUUGAUGUUCUAACGUGGACCCGUUACCCGGGUUGCGGACAGUGUCUGGUGGGUAGUUUGACUGGGGCGGUCUCCUCCUAAAGAGUAACGGAGGAGCACGAAGGUUGGCUAAUCCUGGUCGGACAUCAGGAGGUUAGUGCAAUGGCAUAAGCCAGCUUGACUGCGAGCGUGACGGCGCGAGCAGGUGCGAAAGCAGGUCAUAGUGAUCCGGUGGUUCUGAAUGGAAGGGCCAUCGCUCAACGGAUAAAAGGUACUCCGGGGAUAACAGGCUGAUACCGCCCAAGAGUUCAUAUCGACGGCGGUGUUUGGCACCUCGAUGUCGGCUCAUCACAUCCUGGGGCUGAAGUAGGUCCCAAGGGUAUGGCUGUUCGCCAUUUAAAGUGGUACGCGAGCUGGGUUUAGAACGUCGUGAGACAGUUCGGUCCCUAUCUGCCGUGGGCGCUGGAGAACUGAGGGGGGCUGCUCCUAGUACGAGAGGACCGGAGUGGACGCAUCACUGGUGUUCGGGUUGUCAUGCCAAUGGCACUGCCCGGUAGCUAAAUGCGGAAGAGAUAAGUGCUGAAAGCAUCUAAGCACGAAACUUGCCCCGAGAUGAGUUCUCCCUGAGACUUUAGGUCUCCUGAAGGAACGUUGAAGACGACGACGUUGAUAGGCCGGGUGUGUAAGCGCAGCGAUGCGUUGAGCUAACCGGUACUAAUGAACCGUGAGGCUUAACCUU
Molecule: ribosomal RNA, 2990 nt
Filed under: Salmonella enterica
Lineage: Bacteria; Pseudomonadati; Pseudomonadota; Gammaproteobacteria; Enterobacterales; Enterobacteriaceae
Description: bacterial LSU rRNA
Rfam family: Bacterial large subunit ribosomal RNA
Source: RNAcentral